This 451-nucleotide ribosomal RNA is filed under the name uncultured Anaerolineaceae bacterium. RNAcentral describes it as "bacterial SSU rRNA". It matches the Rfam family "Bacterial small subunit ribosomal RNA", at positions 917 to 1382 of the family's 1533-position model. The record is from RNAcentral. Lineage: Bacteria; Bacillati; Chloroflexota; Anaerolineae; Anaerolineales; Anaerolineaceae.
GGGCCCGCACAAGCAGCGGAGCGUGUGGUUUAAUUCGAUGCUACACGAAGAACCUUACCUGGGUUUGACAUAUAAGUUGUAGGGAACUGAAAAGGGACCGACCCUUCGGGGAGCUUAUACAGGUGUUGCAUGGCUGUCGUCAGCUCGUGUCGUGAGAUGUUCGGUUAAGUCCGCUAACGAGCGCAACCCUCGCCGUAUGUUACAAGUGUCAUACGGGACUGCCGGUAAAAGCCGGAGGAAGGUGAGGAUGAUGUCAAGUCAGCAUGACCUUUAUAUCCAGGGCUACACACACGCUACAAUGGUCUGUACAAUUGGUUGCCAAGCCGCGAGGCGGAGCCAAUCCGUAAAGCAGGCCUCAGUUCAGAUUGCAGUCUGCAACUCGACUGCAUGAAGCCGGAGUUGCUAGUAACCGCAGGUCAGCAAUACUGCGGUGAAUACGUUCCCGGGUCUU